Molecule: long non-coding RNA, 421 nt
Filed under: Physcomitrium patens
Lineage: Eukaryota; Viridiplantae; Streptophyta; Bryopsida; Funariales; Funariaceae
Description: long non-coding RNA (PPAT_LNC009268)
Source: RNAcentral
GCCCACAUUAGAUUAUAAUCUUCUAAUCAUAUGGUAGAAUGUUCUUUGGAUCUUGGAAGUGUAUGCACAUGGUCCAAAUUCAAAUCCAAUGUUUUUUAUGCAUAUCAAAGUCAAAGCAAUCACAAAAUUGUAGAAACAAAAUUUCUUCUUAAAUAUGUUAUUUUUUAGCGCACAUACAAAAAGAAGUAAAUCUAUGGAGGUAAUGAGUCAAAAAAGACCAACUUAUUUCUUUCUUCAGUAUUUUUUCUACACUAACUUCAUUCAUGACUCAAUGGUUUUCUUUGCCAAUUAAAAAAAUAUCCCACGAAACUCACAUAUUUGAUUUAUUCUUCUCACAUUUUGAUGAUUGAUUCAAGGAUUAGCUUGAAGAUAUCUAAUGUCACAUAAAGUUUUUGGAAGUAACACGUUAAUAUAGUCAUUU